This 293-nucleotide ribosomal RNA is filed under the name uncultured bacterium. RNAcentral's name for it is "partial 16S ribosomal RNA". It matches the Rfam family "Archaeal small subunit ribosomal RNA", at positions 455 to 747 of the family's 1478-position model. The record is from RNAcentral.
GUGCCAGCCGCCGCGGUAAUACCGGCAGCUCAAGUGAUGUCCCAUAUUAUUGGGCCUAAAGCGUCCGUAGCUGGCCGACCAAGUCUCCCGGGAAAUCCACCCGCCCAACGGGUGGGCGUCCGGUAGAAACUGGCCGGCUUGGAACCGGAAGGCUCAGAGAGUACGUCCGGGGUAGGAGUGAAAUCCCGUAAUCCCGGACGGACUACCGAUGGCGAAAGCGCCUCAGGAGGACGGACCCGACGGUGAGGGACGAAAGCUAGGGUCACGAACCGGAUUAGAUACCCGAGUAGUCC